UGGCUUGGUUGGUCUACACAUGCAGUCGAACGGCAGCACAGGAGAGCUUGCUCCUUGCGGUGGCGAGUGGCGGACGGGUGAGGAAUACAUCGGAAUCUACUUUUUCGUGGGGGAUAACGUAGGGAAACUUACGCUAAUACCGCAUACGACCUACGGGUGAAAGCAGGGGACCUUCGGGCCUUGCGCGAUUGAAUGAGCCGAUGUCGGAUUAUCUAUUUGGCGGGGUAAAGGCCCCCCAAGGCGACAAUCCGUAGCUGGGCUGAGAGGAUGAUCACCCACACUGGAACUGAGACACGGUCCAGACUCCUACGGGAGGCAGCAGUGGGGAAUAUUGGACAAUGGGCGCAAGCCUGAUCCAGCCAUACCGCGUGGGUGAAAAAGGCCUUCGGGUUGUAAAGCCCUUUUGUUGGGAAAGAAAUCCAGCUGGCUAAUACCCGGUUGGGAUGACGGUACCCAAAGAAUAAGCACCGGCUAACUUCGUGCCAGCAGCCGCGGUAAUACGAAGGGUGCAAGCGUUACUCGGAAUUACUGGGCGUAAAGCGUGCGUAGGUGGUCGCUUAAGUCCGUUGUGAAAGCCCUGUGCUCAACCUGUGAACUGCGGUGUAUACUGGGCGACUAGAGUGUGUGAGAGGGUAGCGGAAUUCCUGUUGUAUCAGUGAAAUGCGUAGAGAUCACGAGGAACAUCCAUGUCGAAAGCGGCUACCUGUACCAACACUGACACUGAGGCACGAAAGCGUGUGGAGCAAACAGGAUUAUAUACCCUGUGAGUCCACGCCCUAAACGAUGCGAACUGUAUGUUGGGUGCAAUUUGUGACGCACUAUCGAAGCUAUCGCGCUUAGUUCGCCGCCCUGGGGAGUACGGUCGCAAGACUGAAACUCAAAGGAAUUGACGGGGGGCCCGCACAAGCGGUGGAGUAUGUGGUUUAAUUCGAUGCACCGCGAAAAACUU
This 949-nucleotide ribosomal RNA is filed under the name Stenotrophomonas sp. RNAcentral's name for it is "bacterial SSU rRNA". It matches the Rfam family "Bacterial small subunit ribosomal RNA", at positions 37 to 971 of the family's 1533-position model. The record is from RNAcentral. Lineage: Bacteria; Pseudomonadati; Pseudomonadota; Gammaproteobacteria; Lysobacterales; Lysobacteraceae.